UACGUAGGGUGCGAGCGUUAAUCGGAAUUACUGGGCGUAAAGCGUGCGCAGGCGGUUCGUUAAGUUCGAUGUGAAAGCCCCGGGCUCAACCUGGGAACUGCAUUGGAAACUGGCGAGCUUGAGUAUGGCAGAGGGGGGUGGAAUUCCGCGUGUAGCAGUGAAAUGCGUAGAGAUGCGGAGGAACACCGAUGGCGAAGGCA
RNAcentral lists this ribosomal RNA (200 nucleotides) under uncultured bacterium. RNAcentral describes it as "partial 16S ribosomal RNA". It matches the Rfam family "Bacterial small subunit ribosomal RNA", at positions 524 to 723 of the family's 1533-position model. The record is from RNAcentral.